Molecule: unclassified non-coding RNA, 260 nt
Filed under: Hevea brasiliensis (rubber tree)
Lineage: Eukaryota; Viridiplantae; Streptophyta; Magnoliopsida; Malpighiales; Euphorbiaceae
Source: RNAcentral
CGUCGUUCUCCGGACGUGGACCCAACGGGCUGACGCCGGAGGUGCUGAAGCCGGACCUGGUGGCCCCUGGUGUCAACAUCCUCGCCGCCUGGACCGACGCUGUUGGACCGACCGGGCUCAACUCUGACACACGUCGGACAGAGUUCAACAUACUUUCGGGUACAUCGAUGGCUUGCCCCCACGUCAGUGGGGCUGCGGCGCUGCUGAAGUCAGCCCACCCAGGGUGGAGCCCUGCUGCGGUCAGAUCAGCAUUGAUGACG